CACCGCGGUUAUACGAGAGGCUCAAAUUGACACUCUUUCGGCGUAAAGCGUGAUUAGAGACCACAAUUCACUAAAGCCAAACACCUCCUAAGCUGUCAUACGCAACCAGAGGCAGGAAGCCCCCCAACGAAAGUAGCUUUAAUAAACAUCUUGAACUCACGACAGUUAAGAAA
RNAcentral lists this ribosomal RNA (173 nucleotides) under Ilyophis nigeli. RNAcentral's name for it is "partial 12S rRNA". The record is from RNAcentral. Lineage: Eukaryota; Metazoa; Chordata; Actinopteri; Anguilliformes; Synaphobranchidae.